AUGGCGGAACGAAAAAGAGUGCCACGGCAACUACAACGGAAAUGGUACCACGGUAACAUAUCUGAUGAUCUGGCAAUGCGUGGAAGCGCCGGUGCAAAAGAACAAGCAUCGGUGGACCUUCGAGGGGCUUGCGUAUCCGAAGGUGUACUUGGUGAUAAUCCCUGUUCGGUGGUCGAACUUGGCGUCAACAGCAACAGCAAGUGGAGGUGCAUGAUGAUAGUGGGGCGUCGCGCUCGUCCACUACGGCGGACAGGGCAUGCAGGUCGUGGUGGUACUGCUCGAGGUAGCAGCAGGAGAUGGCCGGGUCGGGUGCUUGUCAGCAGGCAGCGAAACAAGCUGCUGCUGCUCGAAGAAGGCGGCGGCACGCUUGCGGCUGAACGGAGGGAGGAAGAGGCACGGGCGCGAGGUGGCCCUCAGCUGCCAUGGCCGGAGGCGAGGCAGAGCAGCGAGCUGGAAGUUGAGGUCGUUGGAGGACUAGCUCGCCGGAGUGGCGAGCCAAGCCUCUUCUUGUGGCAAUGGCAGCGAGGAGGAGGCCGUAAAGGGAGUAGAGGAACGGCGGAGCAGAGGACGGGGUCGCCGGAGGCGAUGUUGGCGCAGCACGGCUGGAUGCGCGGGCGCCAUGGCGGGGAGGCGACAAAGCGGAGGUGCUCGAGGCGCGGGAGGGAGAAAAGUCAUGGGGCGGAGCUGACGGAGGAAGGAGGUCAGGCGCUGGAGGGAGAUGGGGACUGA
Molecule: ribosomal RNA, 729 nt
Filed under: Triticum aestivum (bread wheat)
Lineage: Eukaryota; Viridiplantae; Streptophyta; Magnoliopsida; Poales; Poaceae
Description: partial small subunit ribosomal RNA
Source: RNAcentral